GACGAACGCUGGCGGCGUGCUUAACACAUGCAAGUCGAGCGGUAAGGCCCUUUCGGGGGUACACGAGCGGCGAACGGGUGAGUAACACGUGGGUGACCUGCCUUUAGCUCUGGGAUAAGCCUGGGAAACCGGGUCUAAUACCGGAUAUGACUCCGCGGCGCAUGUUGUGGGGUGGAAAGCCUUGUGCGGCUGGAGAUGGGCCCGCGGCCUAUCAGCUUGUUGGUGGGGUGAUGGCCUACCAAGGCGACGACGGGUAGCCGGCCUGAGAGGGCGACCGGCCACACUGGGACUGAGACACGGCCCAGACUCCUACGGGAGGCAGCAGUGGGGAAUCUUGCGCAAUGGGCGAAAGCCUGACGCAGCGACGCCGCGUGAGGGAUGACGG
Molecule: ribosomal RNA, 385 nt
Filed under: uncultured bacterium
Lineage: Bacteria
Description: bacterial SSU rRNA
Rfam family: Bacterial small subunit ribosomal RNA
Source: RNAcentral